This is a long non-coding RNA of Lotus japonicus, 1405 nucleotides long. RefSeq lists it as uncharacterized. The transcript is spliced from 5 exons. NCBI's taxonomy places the organism in Eukaryota, Viridiplantae, Streptophyta, Magnoliopsida, Fabales, Fabaceae. The record is from RefSeq and is a predicted model, not a curated record.
UCAAAAAAAAAUCUCUCUCUUUCUCCCAAAUUGGACGUUUUAUUUUCUCCUUCAACCCUAAUUUCAACAGAUCAACAAUCUGAGAGAAAAACUAGAGAAAAUGCAUCUCUUCUCAACAUUCAUCCUUCAAAUCUGAUCUCUUCAUGGACAUUUAUCCUUGAAACCCAUUCUCUGCUACUACAAUUAACAAUCUUAGAGAAAACGUAGAUCCAGAUGAAGGGAAAGAAAACACAUCGCUUUUCAAACCCAAUCUCUACUAGAGAAAACUCAGAUUCAGAAAAAGGUCAAGGUCGAGCCCCAUAUCAAUCAAGCACGCGAUUCUCUCAAUGGCAACCUGAUAGUUCACGCGAUUUUGGGCUACCCAUCUCCUACCCGUGUCUCCAAUCAAGCACGCGAUUAUGUCUCAGGUCCUUAUAUAUAGUAUCAUGGUUUGAUACUUGGCACCGACGGCUAAGAAUGUAGAAGAGGAAUGUGAUUAUUGAAGGACUAAUGAAAGAUUCUUCUUUGGUUUAGGAGUUGCAGGGCUUGAGACUGAAUGGUGUCACCAUGAACGGCCGAAGCGUACUUUCUUAGUCGUAUACCGUCUCAGUCACCGCCGCAUCUCUCUCCCCUAAUUCUUCAAGCCCUAAUUUUGACCUGUCGUCGCCACGCAUUCUGUUACCUGCGUACCGUAAAAUUCUCCACAAUCACUCCUCAAGUUUACUUUACAUGACGACAAGAAAAGCAGGAGGUUUGGAAGAAAAGAACCCGAAGUGAGAAAUGGACAUUAAGCCCUCCAAAGGAAAACUUUAUAAAGGGAAUUGGAUCCAAUAAUGUUGGGGACAUGAUUAGAUUAUUGUUCAUAUGAUCGAAAAGAAAGGGAUAUUGUGGAAGAGGAAUCUAGCAAGGUAGUGGCGUACUGAUCUGGCUUUGUUUGUUGUGGUCACUGCACGCUUCCCUCCUGUGUACAGGUUGCACUGAGAUUAUGGGAUUGCUAUUAACAAGUUUGUAGGAAGAUCCUCUGUCAUUGCUUAUUUUUUUUCUUUUCUCCCCUUUCGAGAGGAUCUGGCUGUUGUGGAUGAUUUUCUCCCCAUCAUUGCAAGUUCAAGUUAUCUAUUAAAGUUAUAAAGUUUGGUCCUAAAGCAUUUUUUAUUUUUAUACUUUUUAGGUAUAUACCAAAUCAAGAAGCAUCGAAAUAGAGAUUGAAAUAAUAUCCAUCUAAGAGAAGUCAAUUGUUAGUUUGAGCCCUUCUGAUUUUCCACUAGAGGGUAAUUUAUAUGGUGUACAUUGUUUGUUUACAGAACAUCAUUUAUUAGCUUUUUUAGGAUUUCAUUUUUUGAUGUUUUAAGUAGAUCAACUAUGGGAGGGAUUGGAUUUAUACUGAGAACGAUGUUAAGGUUAUCAAAAUGUGUGGAUAAAUUGGACA